AACAUAGCCUGUAGAAGAGAAUAGUAGGUACUACCUGCCCAGUGAAAGUAAAUUAAAAGGCCGCGGUAUCUUGACCGUGCAAAGGUAGCAUAAUCAUUAGCCCCUUAAUUAGGAGCUGGCAUGAAUGGAAGCACAAGGAGGACCCUUUAUUAAAAAUUCGAAAGGGAGUUUAACUUUCCAUUUCAAAGGAUGGGAUCCUCUUGAAGGACGAGAAGACCCUAUAGAGCUUGAUAUUUACUUUUGGAAUUUGAACCCAGCUUGGAAGAAGUAUUUGGUCCCUUUUGGAAAGAUUGUUUUGUUGGGGCGACGAGAGAUCAAUUAAAACUUCUCUUAAAUUUAAAACACCCGCCUCUGGGUGGAUAAAGGAUCCGAGUACUGGAACGAUUUUAAGAAAAAGCUACCUUAGGGAUAACAGCAUAAUCCUGCCCGAGAGACCUUAUUGAAGGUGGGGCUUGUGACCUCGAUGUUGGAUUAAGGAAAUUAUUAGACGCAUCCGUUAUAAA
RNAcentral lists this ribosomal RNA (503 nucleotides) under Prosopistoma wouterae. RNAcentral's name for it is "partial 16S ribosomal RNA". It matches the Rfam family "Archaeal large subunit ribosomal RNA", at positions 1904 to 2637 of the family's 2987-position model. The record is from RNAcentral. Lineage: Eukaryota; Metazoa; Arthropoda; Insecta; Ephemeroptera; Prosopistomatidae.